Molecule: long non-coding RNA, 514 nt
Organism: Daktulosphaira vitifoliae (grape phylloxera)
Lineage: Eukaryota; Metazoa; Arthropoda; Insecta; Hemiptera; Phylloxeridae
Exons: 2
Source: RefSeq, a predicted model, not a curated record
UAAAACGAAUUGGAUAGUUGAAAAUUUAAUUUUUCUCAUAGUAUAUUUAGCAAAUACAUAUAUAAAUAUAAAUGAAUCUAAAAAAAAACUAUAGUAAAUGAAAUUUAGACAACCAUAAAAAAAGUCAUCUACGAUAAAAGAUAAUAAUUAUUUCUAUCUAAAUUGGAUAUUCUCAAAAUCACUCUACAGAAAGAAUUUAUUUAAGAAAUAUUGAUACUUGAAAUUAUUUAUACUUUAAUUUUAGAGGAUUGCCAUGUUUGCGACAAAACAAAUAAAACAAUGAAAUACAAUGAUGUGAAAUGUACUAAACCAAUGUGUCGAAAUUGUCAUACUGCCGUAAAACAUAAUUCUAAUCUAUGCACCAAAUGUACGAAUAAAGAAAAUAAAGAGGAACUGGAGAAUACGGAUAAUCUUACGCGUCAUAAUGUUUGAAAUCCUUACACUACUAAUCCUCAUAAUGUAAAAUAAUAAGUAUUACUACUGGUGGAAUAUAAAACAAUUACUAAAACAAAAA